Molecule: long non-coding RNA, 517 nt
Organism: Bombyx mori (domestic silkworm)
Lineage: Eukaryota; Metazoa; Arthropoda; Insecta; Lepidoptera; Bombycidae
Exons: 2
Source: RefSeq, a predicted model, not a curated record
UCCUGGAAUUUGUUUUAUCGUAAAUUAUUGCGGUUCUCGUUACAAGAAAUGAUUCAUAUCAAUCAGCUAAGCUCGACGUUCGGACCGAUCUAUUAUCACGAUAUUAGAACCAGCAAAAGUAAUGGUCACAACAGAUUAGUCUCAGUGGAACAUGACCGUUUUCGAAAACUGGCUGAUGCUGACAUUAGUUAUACAGUCGAAAGAACAUAACUUAUAGCAAUUUGUGGUUUUCGAUAAUCUCAGCCACUUGGUUAUUUUUAUCCGGAAAGUGUAAAAUAAAAUGGCCAUUUGUUCUUUUGUGCGCAUCAUAGCAUUUCAUUUAUAACUGUUCGUAAUACAUACAAAACUAGUAACAGAAAAAGCAGAUACAUUGAGUAAUAUUGUGGUUUCAAUAAACGAAUCACGUUUUCUAAGCUCAUCAGUCCCUCUAAUGAAAAAAAUCCCACAUAAAUUUUUGUCUGUUGGUUAAAUAGAGUUAUGUUGUUAAGAGCUGAUUAAUAAAAUCAAAUACUAAAAA